Molecule: ribosomal RNA, 117 nt
Filed under: Lepisosteus oculatus (spotted gar)
Lineage: Eukaryota; Metazoa; Chordata; Actinopteri; Semionotiformes; Lepisosteidae
Source: RNAcentral
GCCAGCAGCCCCAUCACCCUGCAGCUCCCAGCUGGCAGCCCCACUGGAGCUCAGCAGCGUGAGCCUGGUCAGUACCUGGAUGGGAGACUCCUGGGAAAGCUCAGGUUGCUGCUGGAA